This 499-nucleotide ribosomal RNA is filed under the name uncultured bacterium. RNAcentral's name for it is "partial 16S ribosomal RNA". It matches the Rfam family "Bacterial small subunit ribosomal RNA", at positions 29 to 506 of the family's 1533-position model. The record is from RNAcentral.
AAUCAACGCUGGCGGCGUGCCUAACACAUGCAAGUCGAACGCGAAAGCCCCGCAAGGGGUAAGUAGAGUGGCAAACGGGUGAGUAACACGUGGGUGACCUGCCUUCGAGUGGGGGAUAACGUCCCGAAAGGGACGCUAAUACCGCAUGACAUCCUGCUUUUGAAAAAGCGGAGAUCAAAGCUGGGGAUCGCAAGACCUAGCGCUUGAAGAGGGGCCCGCGCCUGAUUAGCUAGUUGGUGAGGUAACGGCUCACCAAGGCGACGAUCAGUAUCCGGCCUGAGAGGGCGGACGGACACCCGGGGACUGAGACACGGCCCAGACCCCUACGGGAGGCAGAAGUGGGGAAUUUUUCGCAAUGGGCGCAAGCCUGACGACGCAACGCCGCGGGGGGGACGAAGAUCUUCGGGUCGUAAACCCCUGUCGGGCGGGACGAACGCUUCGCGGAUGAAAAACCCGCGGAAUUGACGGUACCGCUAAAGGAAGCCCCGGCUAACUCCGU